RNAcentral lists this ribosomal RNA (253 nucleotides) under uncultured bacterium. RNAcentral describes it as "partial 16S ribosomal RNA". It matches the Rfam family "Bacterial small subunit ribosomal RNA", at positions 524 to 776 of the family's 1533-position model. The record is from RNAcentral.
UACGAACUGCGCGAACGUUAUUCGGAAUCACUGGGCUUACAGGGUGCGUAGGUGGCAGAGAAAGUAGGGUGUGAAAUGCCUUGGCUCAACCAAGGCACAGCGCUCUAAACUCCUUUGCUUGAGUGAGUCAGGGGUGCACGGAACUUCCGGUGGAGCGGUGAAAUGUGUUGAUAUCGGAAGGAACACCGGCAGCGAAAGCGGUGCACUGGGGCUUAACUGACACUGAGGCACGAAGGCGUGGGGAGCGAACAGG